RNAcentral lists this ribosomal RNA (254 nucleotides) under uncultured bacterium. RNAcentral's name for it is "partial 16S ribosomal RNA". It matches the Rfam family "Bacterial small subunit ribosomal RNA", at positions 524 to 776 of the family's 1533-position model. The record is from RNAcentral.
UACGUAGGGGGCGAGCGUUGUCCGGAUUUAUUGGGCGUAAAGAGCUCGUAGGCGGCUCAGCAAGUCGGUCGUGAAAACCCGGGGCUCAACCCCGGGAGGCCGGUCGAUACUGCUGUGGCUAGGGUCCGGUAGAGGAGAGUGGAAUUCCCGGUGUAGCGGUGGAAUGCGCAGAUAUCGGGAGGAACACCAGUAGCGAAGGCGGCUCACUGGCCCGGUACUGACGCUGAGGUGCGAAAGCGUGGGGAGCAAACAGG